GCGGCCGCCGAGGAGGUUCGAAAACAUGGCCAAAAGAAAUGCCGAGAAGGAACUGACAGAUAGGAAUUGGGAUCAAGAAGAUGAAGCUGAAGAGGGUAAAAGAAGGGUUAUAAACUAAAGCCGAAGAUAUUCAGCAGAUUUCUGACGUGGACAUCAGAAGUGUGGACAUGAGUGUGCUUUGAGCGCACUGUGGAAGAGCAGUGGUUGUCCAGCAAGGUCCUAGGUGCCUCCGUGGCCUUUCGUACAGUGGGCAAGUUGGGCAGGACUCAUCUUAAAAAUCAUGUGUGGGAACAUUCUCCAUGGCCAGUGAGGAAGUCUUGAAGAAUAGAGCCAUAAAGAAAGCAAAGCGCAGAAAUGUUGGAUUCGAAGUGAGUGCCCCCUUACAGCUCUUGCUAUUAAAUACUCAUUUGAUUUCUGGGUUGCACAGCAAU
Molecule: small RNA, 431 nt
Filed under: Pan troglodytes (chimpanzee)
Lineage: Eukaryota; Metazoa; Chordata; Mammalia; Primates; Hominidae
Description: processed transcript
Source: RNAcentral